This 468-nucleotide ribosomal RNA is filed under the name uncultured bacterium. RNAcentral describes it as "partial 16S ribosomal RNA". It matches the Rfam family "Bacterial small subunit ribosomal RNA", at positions 28 to 507 of the family's 1533-position model. The record is from RNAcentral.
GACGAACGCUGGCGGCGUGCUUAACACAUGCAAGUCGAACGGAAAGGCCCUGCUUUUGUGGGGUUCUCGAUUGGCGAACGGGUGAGUAUCACGUGUGUAACCUCCCCUUGACUUUGGGAUAACUUUAGGAAACUGGGGCUAAUACCGGAUAUGAGCUCCUGCUGCAUGGUGGUGGUUGGAAAGUUUCGGCGGUUGGGGAUGGACUCGCGGCUUAUCAGCUUGUUGGUGUGGUAGUGGCUUACCAAGGCUUUGACGGGUAGCCGGCCUGAGAGGGUGACCGGCCACAAUGGGACUGAGAGACGGCCCAGACUCCUACGGGAGGCAGCAGUGGGGAAUAUGGCACAAUGGGCGGAAGCCUGAGGCAGCAACGCCGGGUGCGGGAUGACGGGCUUCGGGGUGUAAACAGCUUUCGACGGUGACGAAGAGUGAGUGACGGUAAUGGGUAAAGAAGCACCGGCUAACUACGUG